Molecule: long non-coding RNA, 5334 nt
Organism: Pseudopipra pipra
Lineage: Eukaryota; Metazoa; Chordata; Aves; Passeriformes; Pipridae
Exons: 3
Source: RefSeq, a predicted model, not a curated record
CCUAUGACUCAUUCUCCAUUUAUGAUUUAUUAAAAAAAGGUCAAAUCACCUGAGUUUUUUUUGGUUAGAAGAGUCUGGAUGAAGUCUCUGAAUGUACUGGUGACAGAGCUGUUUUGAUGGCUAGCCCUUACAUCAGAGAUGUUCAAGAUGGCUAGGUGGGAAUACUUCAACUUUCGUUCCUUGUUACCUUUAUUUCACCUGAGACUCAGCUAGCAACCCCAGCAUUGUGUGUCCGUAUAUACCCGUUACAUCUGGAAGACCUUUACAAUUCACCUGUUAGCCUGAGAAAGAAAGCACCUCAAAGAACAUACAAUUAUAGCUGUCCCAUUGUUUGCUCUGUUCCAUGCCUAAGCUUACAACCAACCACCAGUGCCCAAAACUGCACGUGAUAUUCAAGGUGAGGCCACACCAGUGCAGAGCAGAGCAGAGCAGGACAAUCACCUCCCUUGACCGACUGGCGAUGCUGUGCCUGGUGCCCCCCAGGACACAAUUGGCCCUCCUGGCUCAAGCAGCCAUGAGUGAAGAGAAGUCUGGGGGCAGAGAGCAAGCUGUACAGGGGGGUUCCUGAGUCCAGGAACACCCAAGUAGCAGCCCCACGACCCAGAAGCCCUCGGCAGUCAACCAGGUGAGGAGGGUGUGGUGCUUGGAGUGACCAAGGGGCAUUUAAAUGGCAUCAGGGAGCGUGAGCAACCCAGACCGCAGUGAACAGAACUUCAGAUAAUUCCUUAUGUAAAAAAGGGAUAUGUUAAUUGAGGAACUUUACAUUAAUAAGCAAUUUCUCCAAAAAACCCCAAGAGAACAUGAAACAAUAAUAUCUAUUUUGAAGCAGUUUCAGUGGUCCUAAACAUCAUGAGACCUGUGAUCCAGAGAAGCUUGUAUAACCUCUGAAUACCACUGCUCUAUAAUAUACAGUAUAGACAUAAGUUAUAAGAUGGUGUGUUCAAGAAUUGGCAGAAUAAACAUCCUCAUGGAACUCAGUUAACAACAAUAGUUAUGGCAGGUUAGCCUUGCUGUAGUAAGCUAGCUUGCAAAAACAGAUGAUUUGCCUGUCCAACUAGUAGGCAUAAUGGGUAGCCUUUCAAAUGCAAACUCAUGACUAUAUGUGCAAAAAAAUGGGCAAACUUGGUUUUUUUUCCUGAUUUUUAAAGUGUUUAUUUGAAACAUGUAGGCUUUAGAUACCAUCAGAGAUUAAACGUUACCUAUUUAGCAAUGACUGAGAGAGUCUAGGAAGCUACUUCUUCCAGAAGAAACAUUUGUCUCAACAAAAUUCUUUUACCAGCCCUAAAUAAGAAAAGGAGCAAAUCUCUACUUCAACCAAAGGUGAAACUACAGUAUAAUUAGAGCCAGCCAUUAAUCUACCUUGCAUGAGUAGUAAUAUAAAUGAAGAUAUGAUACAUGAACUCCAGAUCAGGCUGCCACUGGAUAGAACUUUGUCAGCCUGUCAGGUUCAUGGUGACCUUCUGCUGCUAGUGUACAGGUGCUAUGUGUCACUUGUGUAAGCCCUGUGACUGCAGUGAAGGCACAUGCAAGAAAGGGUUUCCUAAGUAAAGGGCUUUAGUGUACAUCGAGAUUGGGAGGUCUUGGUGAAAAAAAGCUGUGUCAUCGCACGUCUUAUGAAAACAGAAAAGUGGUUCAUGAAGUACCAUUUUAGCUGCAAUAAUAACUUUGACAGAGGGUGUUUCUUAUGUUGGUUGGACCGUAAUCUUCCUAGCUGUUUACUGAUUUCUGGGUGUUGUGGUUUUAGUUAAAUGAGAAAGGUUUUUAGUGAAUUUUUUCAUACCACCAUGUGAGUGGGAAUGUGGGUAACUGUCCCACCCCCCACCCCACCCUGUCCGAGCUGAACUGGGGAAAGACUGUCCCCAGCAUCUUGGGACCUGCUGGAAAGGUGGGUCCCUGAAGGGAAGCAACCUGGGAACUCAGGAGACAGGAGUUAAAAAAAAAAGCAUGCGCCAGAACUCUUUCUCUCUUGGUACCCAGGUAUUUGCUUGCUGGAGCAUCAUGGACCUUUGGAGCUUCUUUCACGGGAACCAAUCUACCUCAGCUGCUGUUUUCUGUCUCAGCAGCAGCCAUUUUGCUCAUCAGAUUGGGACUGCCCCAGCCCCCAGCUGAGCUGUCCAGGUGUGACCAGUCACUGCUGAUAGCCUGGGGAUUCCCCUUUCAGGAGCUGCAUGGAGCGCUGUCACCACGUGGCCUGGGACUACUGGAGGGGGUAGCUAGGUAAUAUUUUCUGCUGUUGUUGGGGGGUUUUUUGUUUUUAUUUCUUUCUGGUGAUGGCAAAAAGGCACAAAAAAGAGCUAACAAUGGUUCAGCUGGUAUACCUUGUCCUGUUUCUCUACCUGUUUUGUUAGAAGAACAUUUUGGGAGCACUGGCUAAUAUCAUGUUCUGUUCUGCUCAUUGGACCAAAGGCCUUAUUAUAGAAAGAAUAGGAGUAGUAUACACAAGGUAAUAAAUUAGGUAAACUAGACAUUUAAAUAAGAUACAGAGGGCCCAGAGCCAGGAUUUUGCAAACUUGAAGAAUUCAGUUCACCUAACUUGAAGAGGUCAAAUUGAGGAAGACGUCUGUGGUGACCACCAGAGGGAUGAAGGCUUGAGGAGAAGAUCCCCACAGUAGAAGACUGUGCAUGCCCAAAAAGAUGUAGAAAGACUCCGCCCAGAGACUAGCCUACUUAUUAAUAUGUAUGCUAGAUGAUGUAGCCAUGUGUCUAAAGUGUAUAAAAUGACUUGCUUUUGCACUUUCAAGCCGAGCAAGUUUGUCCAGCAAGAGCUGGCUUGCUCCCAAUGUUGAAUAAACAAAUACCUUGCUGCUUAUAGAUGCAAAAGUCUCUGAGCAGUUAAUUAUUCCAAGGUUUUUCGGCAUCACUGGUUUUAGUAAAAUUGGUAUUUUUCCUUCUUCAUUCAGACUCCUUGUAAUUUCUACCUUGUCAGUGUUAGGGGGAGAGAAAUAAAAGAAAAUGAGAGUUCAUCUUGUUAGCAGUCUCACCUCCCAAACAUAUUGUCAUUAAACCACGACACUGGGCAAUAAAAAUUACUGUGUAUCCCUAUAACUACCCUGUCUCUUUACGUUUUAAGAUCUUUGUCUAAGUUAUGGUCUUCAAUGACGCACUUUUAAAUACUUUUUCAGUCUAAUACUGGUGCGGCAGCUUGGGGUCUACAGACUUCCUGAUAAUGUGCAGAUGGUUCUCAGGAGGAUUAACACACCUGUGUUGCCUCUGUAGCUCAAGUAGUAGGUGGCAACGUUCACUGAGAAUAUAAACUUCAAAGGUGGGUGAUGGCCUUCUUCUGGGGCAGUUUUCUUUGUAAUGAGUAUGCAAAGAUGAACAAAACCAACCUCAUCUCUUCACAUUUGUCAUUGAAUACAUAUUUAAUAAUGGCAGCUUUCUUCAUUAUUAUCAGAGAAUUGUCCUUAUUCAUUACCUGAAAAUGUGUAGCUAAAACCCCAUGUUUCUGCUCCAGUGUAAAGCUUCAUAUUUAAUGUAUUUCAGUAACAACGUAAAGAGAUUACCUUUUGAAGAUUCUGUGGAAAAAGAAGGCUUUCCCAGUCACUUGCCUUUAUGUCUCUGAUAGUCAUGGAGUGUCUGUCACUCCAUCUGCCAAGCCCCCAGUAUCCAAGAAACAACACAAGUUUUAGACAUAGAUUUUCUCUAAUGAAAAUUAUUCAAGAUAACAUAAUCUUAACUGAUAUGUUGCAUAACAGGACUAAGAAAACUCAGCAAAAGUGAGAAGGGUGCUGAAUUAACCACACACACACACAGGCUAUAUACAUCACACACACUAAACAAGAUGUGGAUAGGUGAACUGAAAUAAAAUUAUCAAGAAAUUAUUUCUAUUGUGCAAAAUUCCCAUUUCUCUCUUGCUAACAAAUUCAGAACUGAAAUCUUCAUAUUAUAUGCAACAGUCAUGUAUUUGUGAUGCUAGCCAAGCUCUUCUCCCAUCUUUCAGCCAGUAUCUCAUCUGAGUUCAUUGUACAUCCUUAGUUCAAAAAGGCAGUGUGAAAGUAGAAGAAACAUAUUUACAUAUUAAAUUUAUAGAUUAUGCUUAAAAUUGUGGCUUGUUCCAAAUAGCCUUAUUAUAAAGUUCUUUGAAAGUGAUCAGCACAGAGAGAUUUUAGGGACAAUGAUUGCAAAUUUAAGCAGUGAAGGAAACAUAAUGCUUGAAAAACAAUUGUGGAGAGGAUAGAAGUCACUGUGACCUAGAUUGAAAAAUGAAAUUUGUAGACAGCAGAUGUUUCAUGUGAAAGAAGACCCAGUUAACAUUUUAAAAUGCACAAAUCCUCCCUGUCCCUGGAAAGAAUUGAGCUAACCUACUGAUUAUUUUCUGUUAUUUAAAUAAAUGUCAGAUAUAUUACAUUCAAGUAAAAAGAUCUGCCUGCAGUCAGCAGAAAUUUCCUUUUCACUCCUAAGAGAUGGAUAUGCUUGAUUAUGGAUGGGUAUGGGUAAUUAAGGUAGUUAUACAGUCCAAAACUGUUCAAACUAUCAGUAUUUUAAGUACUUUAAUAAAAUCUGAAAUUUGAAGUACUACAUAAAGUUAUUUGGAAUGAAAAUAUCUUUACAUCACAACUGAUAUUUACAAUAAGGUUAUUCAAAGGACAUGCAAGUGAUAAUGAAUCUUAACAGACCAACAUAACACAUUGGAAUUUCCUAUGCUGUCUUGAAAGAUAUAUAUGUUCAUUGUUGCUCUUUUUAAUAGAAACAGUAACAAAAAAAGUUACACUGACAAUUUUUUUGAACACAGGCCUAAUAAGUUUAAAAUUACCCUAAAGAAAACAAGGUUUAGGAAAAAUAAAAUAAUUAAGCAUGCUCAUUACUGACUUAGGGCUCAUAAUUAAGCUUAUUUGUAUCUGGCUUAAGGCUUGUAGUUAAGCAUACUCAUAGCUGCCUUUUAUGCCAGAGGAAAUAGGAUUCUUAGAAAACCUUAUUGGUUCAGUCACACCAGGGUGCUUAAGGGCUGACUCCUAAUUUAAAAUUGACUGUUUUUUAAAAGAGGUUGAGCUGUCUUCGGCCUUGCUGACCUGCAUGGAGCUGUGAGAAAGCUCUCUGUGCGUGGCUGAGGGUUGCUGGGCUGGAACACACCCCACCACAGGCCAGUCCAGGUGCCGGAGCUGCCAUCCUGACUUCUCUCUGAAUCUUCCUUCCUGCUUGUCUCAGAGCUUUCUCAUGCCCCUUCAGACAAAACCUGGAAAGCUGGAGUAAGUCACAAAUCAGGCAUCAAUCUAGCCCCAAAAAUAAAGCACUAAGACCAACAUUUUCCAGAGAAACUGGCCAAGAGAUCCACAUAGAUUGCCUAACUCCUCAAAACACUGAAAUAUCCCACAUUCAGGUAUUUGGUUGAAUACC